RNAcentral lists this long non-coding RNA (212 nucleotides) under Solanum tuberosum (potato). RNAcentral describes it as "long non-coding RNA (STUB_LNC004905)". The record is from RNAcentral. Lineage: Eukaryota; Viridiplantae; Streptophyta; Magnoliopsida; Solanales; Solanaceae.
ACACUACAAGAAAAUAGAGAUAUGACGACACUAUAUAAAUGUCGUAUUAAGCUGUUUAAAUGUCGUAAAUUCAUUUUCCGACAUUUAGUUUACAUUUACUUCAAAUGUCGGAAAUUUGAGUGUCGUAAAUUAUUCGACACUUAAGAAAAUGUCGGUAAUUAUUAAGCGACAUUUAGUUACGACAUAUACAAAAAUGUCGAUAAUAAAUCAAC